CUUUAAAAAAAAUUAUUGGUCCUCCCAAGAUGGUGGAGAGAGAGUGAAGAAACUGUUCCCCCCUUGGGUUGCUAUCGAUCAAGGGUAAAAUUCCAUUCUGAUACCAAAAUGCAGUAUUCGCACCACUGUGAGCACCUUUUAGAGAGACUGAACAAACAGCGGGAAGCAGGUUUUCUUUGUGACUGCACCAUAGUGAUUGGAGAAUUCCAGUUUAAAGCUCAUAGGAAUGUGCUGGCCUCCUUUAGUGAGUAUUUUGGUGCGAUCUACAGAAGCACUUCUGAGAACAAUGUCUUUCUUGAUCAGAGUCAGGUGAAGGCUGAUGGAUUUCAGAAACUGUUGGAGUUUAUAUACACAGGAACUUUAAAUCUUGACAGAGAUAUCUAGUAUUACUGGAAACAUUGAAUUGAAUCAACAGACUUGUCUUCUUACUCUGCGAGAUUAUAAUAAUCGAGAGAAAUCAGAAGUAUCUGCAGAUUUGGUUCAGGCAAAUCCUAAACAAGGGGCAUUAGCAAAAAAGCCUCAUCUCAAACAAAAAAGAAGAAGAAGCCUUUCAACUCCCCAAAAACAGGGCAGAAUAAAACAGUGCAAUAUCCCAGUGAUAUUUUAGAGAAUGCACCUGUUGAAUUAUUCCUAGGUGCAAAUAAACUGUCCAUACCUGUAGGAGAACAAGUUGCACAAAUAAAUGAUAAUUCAGAACUCAAGUUGACAUCAGUUGUGGAAAAUACUUUUCCAGCACAAGAUAUUGUGCAAACUGUUACAGUGAAACGGAAACGUGGAAAAUCACAGCCGAACUGUGCUCUGAAAGAACACUCUAUGUCUAAUAUAGCCAGUGUCAGGAGUCCUUAUGAGGUGGAGAACUUCGGGGAAGAGCUGGAUCAGAGGUAUUCCAAGGCCAAGCCAAUGUGUAACACAUGUGGGAAAGUGUUUUCAGAAGCCAGCAGCUUGAGAAGGCACAUGAGAAUACAUAAAGGAGUCAAACCUUAUGUCUGCCACUUAUGUGGAAAGGCAUUUACCCAGUGUAACCAGCUGAAAACCCAUGUAAGAACUCAUACAGGUGAGAAGCCAUACAAAUGUGAAUUGUGUGAUAAAGGAUUUGCUCAGAAAUGUCAGCUAGUCUUCCAUAGUCGCAUGCAUCAUGGUGAAGAAAAACCCUAUAAACGUGAUGUAUGCAACUUACAGUUUGCAACUUCUAGCAAUCUCAAGAUUCAUGCAAGGAAGCAUAGUGGAGAGAAACCAUAUGUCUGUGAUAGGUGUGGACAGAGAUUUGCCCAAGCCAGCACACUGACCUAUCAUGUCCGUAGGCACACUGGAGAAAAGCCUUACGUGUGUGAUACCUGUGGGAAGGCAUUUGCUGUCUCUAGCUCUCUUAUCACUCAUUCUCGGAAACAUACAGGUGAAAAACCAUACAUAUGUGGUAUUUGUGGGAAAAGUUUUAUUUCCUCUGGAGAGCUCAACAAACACUUUAGAUCCCAUACAGGAGAAAGACCAUUUGUCUGCGAAUUAUGUGGUAAUUCUUACAUAGAUAUUAAAAAUUUAAAGAAGCACAAAACAAAAGUCCAUUCUGGUGCAGAUAAAACUCUAGACUCCAGUGUAGAGGAUCAUGCUUUGAGUGAACAAGAUUCCAUACAAAAGAGUCCUUUAUCAGAAACUAUGGAUGUGAAACCUUCUGACAUGACUUUACCAUUAGCUCUUCCACUUGGGACUGAGGACCAUCACGUGCUUCUGCCUGUCACAGAUACUCAGUCUCCUACAUCAGAUACAUUGAUGAGGUCAACUGUGAAUGGAUAUUCAGAACCACAGUUGAUAUUUUUACAACAAUUAUACUGAAUGUGAGGAAUAUGGAAUUGCUAAGAUGUCAUUGAUAGCAAACAUCUCUGGUAAGGUGCAUAUAUUCACAUUAAAUUCCCAUUCAUUUGAGUUGUGACCAUUAUUUUCCAUUCACUGAAGUAAAAGCACCUGAUGCUGCAUCACAACUGCAGUGUUUAUUUUUAUUUUUGGCUUUUAUGUCUAUACAUACAGCUUUUUAAGGAAUGAAUUAUGUAGCACUAUUUUGGGUGGAUGAGUUUUAUUUUCUUUUAAAGCUGCCUUAAUUCCAUUUUUAUUUUGCAUUUUAGAAUUGCCCCUCAUUUACUACAUCAGUCAGUUAAUGUGAUUCAGUUUUGACCUGUGGGAUUUAAAAUUUUUACUGCCCUCAGAAUUUAAGCAAAAUCCAUGAUAGUAUCAGCCCAAGAAUGUGUUGUUAUUUGUAAGCCCCACAGAACGAUACAUAAACUAUGGAGAAAAAAUAAAAUUUCAUAUUUCUACUCA
Sapajus apella (tufted capuchin) is the source of this 2307-nucleotide RNA transcript. It is a transcript of the gene named myoneurin pseudogene, with no coding region annotated. NCBI's taxonomy places the organism in Eukaryota, Metazoa, Chordata, Mammalia, Primates, Cebidae. The transcript has a single exon. The record is from RefSeq and is a predicted model, not a curated record.